RNAcentral lists this ribosomal RNA (392 nucleotides) under uncultured bacterium. RNAcentral's name for it is "bacterial SSU rRNA". It matches the Rfam family "Bacterial small subunit ribosomal RNA", at positions 551 to 942 of the family's 1533-position model. The record is from RNAcentral.
UUACUGGGCGUAAAGCGCACGCAGGCGGUUGGAUAAGUUAGAUGUGAAAGCCCCGGGCUCAACCUGGGAAUUGCAUUUAAAACUGUCCAGCUAGAGUCUUGUAGAGGGGGGUAGAAUUCCAGGUGUAGCGGUGAAAUGCGUAGAGAUCUGGAGGAAUACCGGUGGCGAAGGCGGCCCCCUGGACAAAGACUGACGCUCAGGUGCGAAAGCGUGGGGAGCAAACAGGAUUAGAUACCCUGGUAGUCCACGCUGUAAACGAUGUCGACUUGGAGGUUGUGCCCUUGAGGCGUGGCUUCCGGAGCUAACGCGUUAAGUCGACCGCCUGGGGAGUACGGCCGCAAGGUUAAAACUCAAAUGAAUUGACGGGGGCCCGCACAAGCGGUAAUCGAAUU